Molecule: ribosomal RNA, 781 nt
Filed under: uncultured sediment bacterium
Lineage: Bacteria
Description: bacterial SSU rRNA
Rfam family: Bacterial small subunit ribosomal RNA
Source: RNAcentral
AGAGUUUGAUCCUGGCUCAGGAUGAACGCUAGCGGUGUGCCUAAUGCAUGCAAGUCGAACGGGAACCUUUGGAUUCGUCUGAAGGGGAGAGUGGCGAACGGGUGAGUAACACGUANGUGGCCCACCCCAGAGAGGGGGACAACCACUGGAAACGGUGGCUAAUACCCCAGAUGUUAUACUGCUUAGAAAGGUAUGACUAAAGCUCCGGCGCUCUGGGAGGGGCCUGCGGCCCAUCAGCUAGUUGGUGGGGUAACAGCCUACCAAGGCUAANACGGGUAGGGGGCGUGAGAGCGUGACCCCCCACACUGGUACUGAGACACGGACCAGAUACCUGCGGGUAGCAGCAGCAAGGAAUAUUGCGCAAUGGGCGAAAGCCUGACGCAACAACACCGCGUGGAGGAUGAAGGUCUUCGGAUUGUAAACUCCUUUUCUGGGGGAAGAGAAAGGACGGUACCCCAGGAAUAAGUCUCGGCUAACUACGUGCCAGCAGCCGCGGUAAAACGUAGGAGGCGAGCGUUAUCCGGAUUUACUGGGCGUAAAGCGCAUGCAGGCGGUUUUCUAAGUCGGACGUGAAAGCUCCUGGCUCAACUAGGAGGGGCCGUUCGAAACUAGGAGACUUGAGGAUGGUAGAGGANAGUGGAAUUCCCGGUGUAGUGGUGAAAUGCGUAGAUAUCGGGAGGAACACCAGUGGCGAAGGCGGCUCUCUGGGCCAUUCCUGACGCUCAGAUGCGAAAGCUAGGGGAGAGAACGGGAUUAGAAACCCCGGUAUUCCUAGCCGUAA